RNAcentral lists this ribosomal RNA (816 nucleotides) under uncultured bacterium. RNAcentral's name for it is "bacterial SSU rRNA". It matches the Rfam family "Bacterial small subunit ribosomal RNA", at positions 60 to 890 of the family's 1533-position model. The record is from RNAcentral.
AGUCGAACGGAGAUAAAGAUUUCGGUUUUUAUCUUAGUGGCGCACGGGUGAGUAACACGUGAAUAACCUGACCCAAAGAGGGGGAUAACACCUGGAAACAGGUGCUAAUACCGCAUAAGACCACAAUGUCGCAUGACGAAGGGGUCAAAGAAAAUCGCUUUGGGAGGGGUUCGCGUCCCAUUAGGUAGUAGGCGGGGUAACAGCCCACCUAGCCGACGAUGGGUAGCCGAGCUGAGAGGCUGAUCGGCCACACUGGAACUGAGACACGGUCCAGACUCCUACGGGAGGCAGCAGUGGGGAAUAUUGGGCAAUGGGCGCAAGCCUGACCCAGCAACGCCGCGUGAGGGAAGAAGGUUUUCGGAUUGUAAACCUCUGUCGCAGAAGACGAAGGAAGUGACGGUAUUCUGUGAGGAAGCCCCGGCUAACUACGUGCCAGCAGCCGCGGUAAUACGUAGGGGGCGAGCGUUGUCCGGAAUUACUGGGCGUAAAGGGAGCGUAGGCGGUCUGAUAAGUUGGAUGUGAAAUACCCGGGCUUAACUUGGGGGGUGCAUCCAAUACUGUUGGACUAGAGUACAGGAGAGGAAAGCGGAAUUCCUAGUGUAGCGGUGAAAUGCAUAGAUAUUAGGAGGAACAUCGGUGGCGAAGGCGGCUUUCUGGACUGCAACUGACGCUGAGGCUCGAAAGCGUGGGGAGCAAACAGGAUUAGAUACCCUGGUAGUCCACGCUGUAAACGAUGAAUACUAGGUGUAGGGGGUAUAAACUCCCUCUGUGCCGCAGCGAACGCAAUAAGUAUUCCGCCUGGGGAGUACGGCCGCA